Molecule: ribosomal RNA, 253 nt
Filed under: uncultured bacterium
Lineage: Bacteria
Description: partial 16S ribosomal RNA
Rfam family: Bacterial small subunit ribosomal RNA
Source: RNAcentral
UACGGGGGGGGUAAGCGUUGUUCGGAAUUACUGGGCGUAAAGGGCUCGUAGGCGGCCAACUAAGUCGGACGUGAAAUCCCUCAGCUUAACUGGGGAACUGCGUCUGAUACUGGAUGGCUUGGAUUUGGGAGAGGGAUGCGGAAUUCCAGGUGUAGCGGUGAAAUGCGUAGAUAUCAGGAAGAACACCCGUGGCGAAAGCGGCUCUCUGGAACGGUACUGACGCUGAGACGCGAAAGCGUGGGGAGCGAACAGG